RNAcentral lists this long non-coding RNA (231 nucleotides) under Cicer arietinum (chickpea). Its description in RNAcentral is "long non-coding RNA (CARI_LNC001036)". The record is from RNAcentral. Lineage: Eukaryota; Viridiplantae; Streptophyta; Magnoliopsida; Fabales; Fabaceae.
ACAAACAACAAUGGCUCGCGUCAAACAAACUGCCAGGCGUCCAUCAUCAUCAUCUAAAUCAAUUUCUCUGGAUUCUUCUUCUACUUCAAGUGGAAGAACACCUUCACCCCCACCUCCUUCACCUCCGGCCAAACGAGUUUCUAUUCCUAUACACAAGGUUUUGGCUAAGGAUAAAGGUAAAGUUGUUGCUACUUCUCAGGAACCAAGCAAAAAGAGGAAAGCUCCUCCUAC